RNAcentral lists this long non-coding RNA (3263 nucleotides) under Piliocolobus tephrosceles (Ugandan red Colobus). RNAcentral describes it as "lncRNA (ENSPTEG00000001523.1)". Lineage: Eukaryota; Metazoa; Chordata; Mammalia; Primates; Cercopithecidae. The record is from RNAcentral.
UAUUAAACAAAAUUCAAGAACAUAUACGUGAAUAUAAUAGCAAAACUAGUAUGUCAUUUAAAAAUGAACACUAUGAUGAAUUAUUUGAUUUUAUUAGUAUGCACAUGGCAAAACAUAACGACAUUUCCUGGGCUGAUUUUGAGUAUAAACGUGAUGAUGUCGAAGUAAAUGCUACACUGAAAUAUAUGGAACAGAAAGAAAAUGCAAAAACGAGGAGUAGCAAAAAAAAAGGGGGGAAGUUAGAUGGAGAUGGAGACAAAAGUGAUGGAGAUGGAGACAAAAGCGAUGGAGGUAGAGGCGAAAGUGGUGGAGGUAGAGGCGAAAGUGGUGGAGGUAGAGGCGAAAGUGAUGAAGGUAGAGGCGAAAGUGAUGAAGGUAGAGGCGAAAGUGAUGAAGGACUUAUGUAUAAAAAAGGAAGUGGUAAAAAUCGUAAGAAUAUAUUAUACAGCAAUGGUGAUGAUGAUAGUGAUAGUGGUAGUGGUAGUGGUAGUAGCUACAAAAAUGGAAAUAAGUUUAAUAAAAAAUCAAAUGGUAGAAAAUGUAAUAGUGAUAAUUCAGAUGCAGAGCAAAGUGACGAUUAUUUUGACAAGGGGGAUCAAGAAUCGGGUUCAGAUAAAGAAAGUAGCAAUUCUGGAUCGGAAGAAGAACAAGAAUAUGAAGCUUCUGACGAUGGAGUUGGUGAUGGAGUUGGCGAUGGAGUUGACGAUGGAGUUGACGAUGGAGUUGACGAUGGAGUUGACGAUGGAGUUGAUGCAUAUGAUGACACAGCUGAAGAUGCAACUGAUUAUGAAGAAAAUAAGGAUGACACGAUAAAGAGUGAUAAUAAAGAAGAGGAUAGUGGAACAGAACAUGAGUCGGUAAAUGAUGAGUCAGACACAAUUGGACUAAAAAAAAGGAGCGAUGACAAUAUACGAUCAAAAGGAUGUGACAAGAACAAAUGUAGUAAUAGUAGCACUACUAGUGGUAGUGAUACGAACGAAAGUGGAACUAGUUAUACCCAAACAGGAACAUAUGCAAACAAACAAUAUACUAAUAAAGAUACUAUAAUAAUGAUACGGGAUACAAAUCCAAACACAGACAUAGACAUAGAUACAGACACAAACAUAGACACAAACAUAGACACAAACACAGACACAAACACAAACACAGACACAAACACAGACACAAACAACAAUGACUCAUUUACUGAUGGAAAUAAAGAUUUUAGCAGUAUUUUAAAAUCUGAUAAAUCGUUCUCUUCUGAAGGGAAUGAUUAUAUGUUAUACAACAUGUUGUUAAGUAGUGAAGAUUCAGAAAAAUAUAAUAAUAUGAAAGAGAAAAAAAAAACUAUUAUAGAAGUUAAUUCUGUUAAACAAAAUAGACAUUUAAACACUCACUUUAGUGAUGAUAUAAGAUAUACGUCGAUUCAUUCUGGCUAUAGUAUGGCAGAUUCCAGUGUAUCUACUUCUUGUGCCGAUUCACCGGUAGCUAGUUUGUGCAGCAAACAAAACUUAACCCAUGGAGAACAUAUAAGGGGCAGUUGCACUAUAAACAAUAGCAAUAGCAAUAGUAAUAGUAAUACCAAUAGUAAUACCAAUAGUAAUACCAAUAGUAAUACCAAUAACAAUAAAACUAGCAAUAAAAAUAGCAAUAAAAAUAGCAAUAAAAAUAGCAAUAAAAAUAGCAAUAAAAAUAGCAAUAACAAUAACAAUAGCAAUAAAAAUAGCAAUAAAAAUAGCAAUAACAAUAACACUAACAAUAACAAUAACAACCAUGAUGCUGAUAAUACUAAUAUAAAUGAUACUAUUGAUAAUGACCAUAUGGACAGUAAUAUGCCACAUAAAAAAACGUGUGAUAUACCAUUAGUGCUAAACGAAGAAGAAAAAAUGAUUAACAAUAAAUUAAAAAAGAUAAAAUAUGAUUAUAAAAAUAAUAUAAAUUUGGAUGAGUGGGUUGAUGAAAGUGAUGAUAGUUCCAAUAAAAAAAAUAAAGAAAAUACAAGAUGCGAAGAGUUAGAAAAAUGUAACAUAAAUAAGAAUGAACAGGCAUAUGUCAAACAGAUUUUAAAUAAGAUAAAAAGUAGUUUAUUACGUUUUGUUAAAAGUAUAAAAUUCUGUAACUUAACAUGGGUUUUAAAAUUUGUAAUAGCAUGGGAAAUUGAUUUUUAUCCUUUUUCAAUUGAUUUUUUGAGUAAUGUAAAAAAUCAAUUACUAAAAGAAACAUUAUUUAAACUGAAAAACAUAAAUAAUCCUAAAAUAUUAAAAGGUCAAGACAUAACACAUAGUGGUUUAGAAUAUGAAUUACAAAUAGAAGGAAAAAAUAUUCAUGAAAUUUUUCAAAUUAAAGAUAAAUAUAUUGAUAAAACGAAGUUAUACUGUAAUGACAUUUAUACAAUUGUUAAAACGUAUGGAAUUGAAGCGGGUAGGUUUUGUAUAAUUAAAGAAUUGAAAAAGGUAUUUGAAGCCUAUGGAAUUACAGUGGAUUUUAGGCACUUGUCGUUUAUUAGUGAUUUUAUGACUCAUACAGGUAAAGCGAUCAAAAAAAAAAAAAAAAAAAAAAAAAAGGGAAAGUGGCACAUUCUGGCUAUAUAGCCACUUAUUUAUAUAGCCACCUAUAUAUAUAUAUAUAUAUAUAUAUAUAUGUAUACAUAUAUAGCUAUCGAGUUGGUCAUUUUUUUAUUUAUUAUUACUGUUGUUUUCCACACUUUUUUCCACACUUUUUUCCACACCUUUUUUCUACAAUUUUUUAGGCGAUUUAAAACCCUUCAGUAGGCACUCCAUGAAUUACAGUCGUAACAUUUUUCAUAAAAUGAGUUUUGAGUGCGCAACAAAAAAUAUGAUUCAGGGUUGUACAUACAAGUCAAAAGGUAACCGAAAAGAAAGACAAACAAAGCUCAUGUGUUUGUUCGUGCAUACACACGCACAUACAUCUGUAUAUACAUAUAUAUAUAUAUAUAUAUAUAUAUGUAUGUACGAACUUAUCAUUCAUUACAUUUUACAUUUUACAUUUUACAUUUUACAUUUUACAUUUUACAUUUUACAUUUUGCAUUUUACCUUUUACAUUUUGCAUUUUACCUUUUACAUUUUGCAUUUUACCUUUUACAUUUUGCAUUUUACCUUUUACAUUUUUUUUUUUUUUUUUUUUUUUUUUUGUAGAUUACUUAUCUACACCUUCGAGCAGCUUAUUUUUCGGGAAGCACAUCAAAGUGGGAACGAAUUUGUCUGACAUUGUGAUGUGUUUUGGAGGCAAUGUAUGAUGAUAAUAAAGAUUUUAUCAUGGUACA